Hibiscus syriacus is the source of this 791-nucleotide long non-coding RNA. RefSeq lists it as uncharacterized. The record is from RefSeq and is a predicted model, not a curated record. NCBI's taxonomy places the organism in Eukaryota, Viridiplantae, Streptophyta, Magnoliopsida, Malvales, Malvaceae. The transcript has 3 exons.
UCUUCUUCCCCAACUCUCUGCCUCCUUCAUUCUUCUCGACCGAGAGUCACAAAGCUCUACACAACGAACAACCAUCAUGGCUCCAACAAAGACCACAUGGCCAAACAACGCAUCGUGGUGGCCACGAUUCUCUGACUCUAAUCUCACUCGUUCUUUCUCUCGGCGAUAGUCAUAAAGCUUCACUCGCGUAGCCGGCAGGCCACUCUUACCCGAACACCCACAAAUCAUCCCUAACUUAGUUCUCAACGUCUACGUUCUAAGGCCAACCAAACGAGACCCCCACCAAAGCAAAAUGGAAACCAUCUCUAUUGCUCCAAAUCGACACCCACUCCUUAUACUUUCAACCGAGACCCUCUCAAUUGACCUCUAAAGGACCAAAGUCAGUCCCUAAACCUCUCGAAGCCAAACCACAACCACUCAUCUCCAGACACUCUGUCUCGCGGCCAAGAACCCGAACCCGAACGGUGAUGGAGUCAACGAGACUCCACUGGAACUCACACAACGCAGGUGAUGACAGCUUCUAGAAGUAUUUGGUGAUGGUUCUAUGUUGACUUGGCAGUGCAGUAGGAGGCAUGCGUGGAUGACAGUUGAAGUUGGUGGCAGUUUGCUUUAGGAUUAGGAUUUUAGCAAAUCUUAAAUUCACUAGGUCGGGUCACUGAACCGGGUCACACUUGAGCUUGAACCAACAUCUUGUAAUUGGGUUGAUAUUUGUAACUGGGUCUUGGGCCUGUAAAAUAUAAUAAGUAACAUUAAUAAUAAUAAUAAUAAUAAUAAUAAUAAUGUAUUAAAAG